This 494-nucleotide ribosomal RNA is filed under the name uncultured bacterium. RNAcentral's name for it is "partial 16S ribosomal RNA". It matches the Rfam family "Bacterial small subunit ribosomal RNA", at positions 28 to 507 of the family's 1533-position model. The record is from RNAcentral.
GACGAACGCUGGCGGCGUGCUUAACACAUGCAAGUCGAACGGAAAGGCCUGCUUUCCCUUGUGGAUUGCGGGUACUCGAGUGGCGAACGGGUGAGUAACACGUGAGUGAUCUGCCCCCAACUUGGUUAUAAGCCUGGGAAACUGUGUCUAAUUACCGAUAGGACUGCAGGGUGGAGCAGGUGGUGGCAAACGUUCUUCUAGUGGUAGGGGAUGCGCUCGCGGCGUAUCAGCUUGUUGAUGGGGUAGUUGCCUACAAAGGCGGCGACGGGUAGCCGGCCUGGGAGGGUGGACAGUCGCAGUGGGACAGGGAUACGGCCCAUACGCCUACGGGAGGCAGGAGUGGGGAAGAAUGCAGAAUGAGCGGAAGCCUGAUGCAGCGACGGCGCGUGGGGGAUGACGGCCUUCGGGUUGUAAACUCCUAGGGAACGCGAGGAAGCCACGUGGUUGGAAGGGUGGUGACGGUAGUGGUAGAAGAAGCACCGGCUAACUACGUG